This 465-nucleotide ribosomal RNA is filed under the name uncultured bacterium. RNAcentral's name for it is "partial 16S ribosomal RNA". It matches the Rfam family "Bacterial small subunit ribosomal RNA", at positions 28 to 507 of the family's 1533-position model. The record is from RNAcentral.
GACGAACGCUGGCGGCGUGCUUAACACAUGCAAGUCGAACGGAAAGGCCCUGCUUGCAGGGUACUCGAGUGGCGAACGGGUGAGUAACACGUGGGUGAUCUGCCCUGCACUUCGGGAUAAGCUUGGGAAACUGGGUCUAAUACCGGAUAGGACCGCACUUUAGUGUGUGUGGUGGAAAGUUUUUUCGGUGUAGGAUGAGCUCGCGGCCUAUCAGCUUGUUGGUGGGGUAAUGGCCUACCAAGGCGGCGACGGGUAGCCGGCCUGAGAGGGUGUACGGCCACAUUGGGACUGAGAUGCGGCCCAGACUCCUACGGGAGGCAGCAGUGGGGAAGAUUGCACAAUGGGCGCAAGCCUGAUGCAGCGACGCCGCGUGGGGGAUGAAGGCCUUCGGGUUGUAAACUCCUUUCGCUAGGGACGAAGCUUUUUGUGACGGUACCUAGAUAAGAAGCACCGGCUAACUACGUG